CUGUUUGCUGAUGGAGCAUCAUCAAGAUUCACAAAACUUUUUUUAGGGCUAAUGAUCAAUGGUGAAGAUCAUGCUUCACUAUACAAUCAGCCCUUUGAAUAUGUAUGGGAAUCUUGAUGAUGCUGCAGCGGCAAUAAA
This is a microRNA precursor of Theobroma cacao (cacao), 138 nucleotides long. It matches the Rfam family "mir-172 microRNA precursor family". From Rfam's summary of the family: mir-172 has been experimentally verified in Arabidopsis thaliana. NCBI's taxonomy places the organism in Eukaryota, Viridiplantae, Streptophyta, Magnoliopsida, Malvales, Malvaceae. The record is from Rfam.